Molecule: ribosomal RNA, 442 nt
Filed under: uncultured Eubacteriales bacterium
Lineage: Bacteria; Bacillati; Bacillota; Clostridia; Eubacteriales
Description: bacterial SSU rRNA
Rfam family: Bacterial small subunit ribosomal RNA
Source: RNAcentral
GUGGUUUAAUUCGAAGCAACGCGAAGAACCUUACCAGGGCUUGACAUGCCGCUGACCGGUGCAGAGAUGCAUCUUACCCUUCGGGUACAGCGGACACAGGUGGUGCAUGGUUGUCGUCAGCUCGUGUCGUGAGAUGUUGGGUUAAGUCCCGCAACGAGCGCAACCCUUGUCUUUAGUUGCCAUCAUUAAGUUGGGCACUCUAAAGAGACUGCCGAUGACAAAUCGGAGGAAGGUGGGGAUGACGUCAAAUCAUCAUGCCCUUUAUGUCCUGGGCUACACACGUGCUACAAUGGUCGGUACAACGAGAAGCAAGUCAGCGAUGGCAAGCAAAUCUCUAAAAGCCGAUCCCAGUUCGGAUUGCAGGCUGCAAUUCGCCUGCAUGAAGUCGGAAUCGCUAGUAAUCGCAGGUCAGCAUACUGCGGUGAAUACGUUCCCGGGCCUU